AAACCGUUCAGGGGUAAACCUAAGAAACCCAAAAGAUCGAACGGGGAGAUUCAUCGUCAGCGGCGCUGGCUUCGCGUCGGUGGGCGAUGUCCCGCGGUGCCGUUCCUCGGCUCUCGCGCGGGCACGCUACCGUGCGUCGACGUCCGGCGAUCGUCGUCGUGCACUUCUCCCCUAGUAGGACGUCGCGACCCGCUGGGUGUCGGUCUACGGCCCGGGUGCGGUGACUGUCGCGUCGCCGGUUAAACGGCACGCGGCAAACUCCCGGUCGCCCGGCCGGCUGCCCGGCGGUACACGCAACGGUAUCAGGCCGCGCCGCGCGCGCGUCGAGCCCGUCGCAAGCGAGCGCCACGGUACCCGGAGGUACGGACCUAGUGCCGUCCCCGGUCCUGGCCCGCUGUUGGCUGUACGGUGCAACCUUCGACAGGCCUCCUCUCGGUAACACGAGAUACCGGUCGGCGACGCUACUGCUUUGGGUACUCUUAGGA
This 485-nucleotide ribosomal RNA is filed under the name Acanthostichus quadratus. RNAcentral's name for it is "eukaryotic LSU rRNA". The record is from RNAcentral. Lineage: Eukaryota; Metazoa; Arthropoda; Insecta; Hymenoptera; Formicidae.